UGCAGAGGCUGGAAAAAGUGC
RNAcentral lists this non-coding RNA (21 nucleotides) under Caenorhabditis elegans. Lineage: Eukaryota; Metazoa; Nematoda; Chromadorea; Rhabditida; Rhabditidae. The record is from RNAcentral.